GGAUGUAAAAACCAUUUCAUACGGUUAAUAAAAUACAACUUCUGAUUACCCUAUUGUUUUCCUGGGUAAAACAUGAUUUCUGUAUCUUCUCUUUUUGUUUCAGAAAACAACAAAAUCACGUUGAGAAACAUAGUAGUAGCUGUAAAAUAUAAGAUCAAUCAUGGUGUUUACCGGCAAGGCGACCUCGAUUGUCUAGACUAUCUUGAGCUGGAUUGUUGGGUCUUGGGCUUGGUGGUGUCGACGGAUUCCUCUUUGAAGUUUCUGAAGGAGAAGUAGACACACUAAGGUUCUCAAAAUUAGAUAAACCUCUGGAAGCGUCAACCAUGGGAAUAUUACUUGAGAAAAUUGCAAGUCCCUGGAAUAUCAACAUGAGAGUAACAAAAUAUGAGAUGGUCGCCAUUUGAAGUCAUUGAAUUCCUGAUUCAUCCAUAUAUUUAUGUAAGAUUGUGACCCAAAUUUUGGUUAAGAAAUCAAAGUCAAGAUCAAGGUCGCCUCCCCCAACGCGUAAAAUUACAAAGUCGAG
This 523-nucleotide long non-coding RNA is filed under the name Gossypium raimondii (Peruvian cotton). RNAcentral's name for it is "long non-coding RNA (GRAI_LNC005780)". The record is from RNAcentral. Lineage: Eukaryota; Viridiplantae; Streptophyta; Magnoliopsida; Malvales; Malvaceae.